This 253-nucleotide ribosomal RNA is filed under the name uncultured bacterium. RNAcentral describes it as "partial 16S ribosomal RNA". It matches the Rfam family "Bacterial small subunit ribosomal RNA", at positions 524 to 776 of the family's 1533-position model. The record is from RNAcentral.
CACGUAGGGCGCGAGCGUUGUCCGGAAUUAUUGGGCGUAAAGAGCUCGUAGGCGGCCUGUUGCGUCCGCUGUGAAAGCCCGGGGCUUAACCCCGGGUCGGCAGUGGAUACGGGCAGGCUAGAGGUAGGCAGGGGAGAAUGGAAUUCCAGGUGUAGCGGUGAAAUGCGUAGAUAUCUGGAGGAACACCGGUGGCGAAGGCGGUUCUCUGGGCCUUACCUGACGCUGAGGAGCGAAAGCGUGGGGAGCGAACAGG